UUUUCAAGCGGCAAGUUUUCAUGGUCGAAAAAUUUCGCGGUCUCCAAAAGGUUAUAGGCGCGCUUCCAAUUCCCAAAUUGUGAAUGAAAGAUGUGAUUGGGUCUUGUUCUUCUCUCACUCCGACUCCCUCCACAAGUCCAACGACAUCCUCGCCUCCUCCGGCGACUACCUCCGCCUCUGGGAGGUCAAAGACUCCUCCGUUGACCGCCUCGAGCCCAUCUCCGUCCUCAACAACUCCAAGACCAGCGAGUUCUGUGCGCCGCUUACGUCAUUCGACUGGAACGAGAUCGAGCCUCGGCGAAUCGGAACCUCCAGCUUCGACACCACCUGUACGAUUUGGGACAUCGAGAAGGGAGUCGUCGAGACGUAGCUGAUCGCUCACGAUAAGGAGGUUUACGACAUUGCGUGGGGCGAAGCUAGGGUUUUCGCCUCCGUCUCCGCCGACGGGUCGGUGAGGAUUUUUGAUCUCCGACUCAAAUCUUCUCCGACUCGUACCCAUCGACUCUGACUCCGACUCAGAUCUUCUCCUCUGCUCCUAUUGCCUUCUCCACUGCUCCUAUUGUUGCUACUUUUCAUAUAUCUAGUUCAAGGAUUGGCUGGAGAAGACGAAGAAGGAUUGACAAAUAAACGAUUGGCUUUUCGUAUUUCUGGAUUGGAAAUUUAGAAGUUGAUUUUGCGAUAUGUCCAGGGACUUCGUCCCAAUUUCUGUGUUUUCAGAGUCGUGAGAAGAUGGUGAUGUGCAGGUGAGGAAGAAGCUUUAUGUGCCGAGUGGAGGACAAGAAUAGUCACAUGAGAAUGCUCAACAUCUCGUGUUGAUGAUCUGGUUGCGAAUUCGAUGGAUAUUUUAAAAGCGGCUGCGGUGGAUGCCGAUGGAAAUGAAUGCGAAGACGUUUUACAGGCAAGGUGAUGAAGUUGAUUUGUUCCUCUAACCAGCAAAUCAUGCUCAAGUGAGGGAGGCAGAUCAAGCAGAAACACAAGCAAUGCAACUUGCAGAGUGAGUUGAUGGCUGCGAAGUCUACUGGAGCUCAGCAAUGAGGAGUUAGAGAUAGUCAAAGCUGGUGCAGCUCAGCAAAAUGAAGAGUUAGAGGCAGUGAAGGCUAGAGCCGCUGCACAAAAUGAAGAGUUGGAGGCACUAAAGGCAAGACAAAAUCAUACCGACAUACUUUUACUUAAAUUGAUGGUGCCGUUAUCCUCCCAAAACUGAUGAUUGGUCUAAGCUUAAAAAAAGUACAUCUUGCAAACUAUCAUUGAAGGCCGCCUUAUUGAACUUCUAGAAAGACUUGUAUGUAUUUCCAUUUAUUUUGAAAUUGCUGUUAAGGAUGGAUUGACAUUUGUAUAUUUUGGAUUUGCAAAUUUAAUUAGUAUGUCAGGAUAGAGAUACAUGUCUUAUAUUGUAUUGGAAUUGAGUAGUUUAAUAUUGAUAACUGGUAUUUGAGUACAUUUCGUUU
Rosa chinensis is the source of this 1448-nucleotide long non-coding RNA. RefSeq lists it as uncharacterized. Lineage: Eukaryota; Viridiplantae; Streptophyta; Magnoliopsida; Rosales; Rosaceae. The transcript has 7 exons. The record is from RefSeq and is a predicted model, not a curated record.